GCGUAUCGAAGAGAAGAAGAAUAAGAGAAAAAAACCCAACAACAACACAUUACGUAACCUCACACGAUAAUACUUCUUUCCCAGCACACGGCAGCCAUUCGAACCAUCACUAAAAACCUCGCUACGGUCACAGCUACUACGCCAGACGACAAUGGGACCUCUACUCUUCGUCAUCAGAAUCAUCAAUAGUAUUAUGCAUCAUCGUAAUCGUCAGCACUUACGCGUGUAGCCUAAGGGGGGGGGGAGCAAUGUUGCCAGACUGUCGUACUCAGACUGUUAUAUUUCCCAACUUCCUGACCCAAUACUGUCUUCUGGGGUCCAAUAACGAAACUCAUUUAUAGUUAUUGUUAAAAGAGUUCGAUCUGAUGUCUCUUGGCAAUAGUUAGGCCUUGGAAUCCAGUAAUUACUAUGCUGUUAUAUUUCCCAACUUCCUGCCCCAACACACUCUUCUGGGGUCCAAUAACGAAACUCAUUUAUUGUUAUUGUUAAGAGAGUUAUACCCUGAUGUCUCUUGGCAAUAGUUAGGCCUUGGAAUCCAGUAAUUACUAUGCUGUUAUAUUUCCCAACUUCCUGCCCCAACACUGUCUGCUGGGGUCCAAUAACGAAACUCAUUUAUAGUUAUUGUUAAAAGAGUUCGAUCUGAUGUCUCUUGGCAAUAGUUAGGCCUUGGAAUCCAGUAAUUACUAUGCUGUCAUAUUUCCUAACUUCCUGCCCCAACACUGUCUGCUGGGGUCCAAUAACGAAACUCAUUUAUAGUUAUUGUUAAAAGAGUUUGAUCCUGAUGUCUCUUGGCUUGGUUUUGGGGUGGAAAUAGGGUUUGGAAAUGGGGUAUUGGGGUGGUUUUGGGGGUGGGAAAUGGGGAACAGGUUUGGGAAAUGUUUUGGGGGGUCAGGGAAAGGGUUUUGAAAUGGGGAAAUGGGUUUGGGAAGUUUGUUAGGCCUCAGAAUCCGGUAAACACUAUGCUCUUAUAUUUCCCAUCUUCCUGCCCCCAAACUGUCUUCUGGGGUCCAAUAACAAAACUCAUUUAUAGUUAUCAUUAAAAGAGCUAUACCUUGAUGUUUCUCGGCAAUACUUGGGCUUUGGAAACAGGUCAAUACUAUGCUCAAAGUACGACAACCUGGCAGGGGUGUGGUGGGGCAGUAGUAGGAGUUUUAAACGAUACAAAAAGUUCCGCAGUAAUGAUAUAUCCGUUACACCUCCUGGGGCUCCGAUCGCCACUGGAAUAAGGGGAUGAGGACACAUUAUCAAACACCAGCUUGUAUAUAAACAUGCAAUGGGCUAAAUGUAAAUAAAAAUAGAUGGAAUACAUAUACAAUAAAUGGUACAAGUGUAGAAUGACUGGGUGUAUCCACAGAAAUGGGGGGGGGAUGGGGGGGACAUGGGUGUUUUUGAAAAGGGUCGGGAAACUGAUUUUGAGGGGUCGGGAAAUAGGGGAACGGGGUGGGACAUGUUUUGGGGGGUGGAAAUAGGGUUGGGAAAUGGGGCUUUGGGGUGGAAAUGGGGUUGGGAAAUGGGGAACAGGUUUGGGAAAUGUUUUUGGGGGUUGGGGAAAGGGUUUUGAAAUGGGGAAAUGGGGUGGGAAAUGGGGGUGUUUUUGGGUUGGAAAGGAUCGGGAAAUGGUGUUUUGAAUUGGGAAAUCAGUCGGGAAAUGGGGUUGGGAAAUGGAUGUUUUUGGGGUUGGCUGUGAAAACUGUCCGCUAGGCUUCGAGCUGAGAGACCGAACGGCCGAGUUUUGUUACGUCGAUCGAAGGCGCUGUGUGUGUGUGUGUGUGUGUGUGUGUGUGUGUGUGUGUGUGUUCCUGCUUUUUUCCUCUCUCUCUCUCUCUCUUCCUUUCUUUCUUCCUCUUCCUC
This is a long non-coding RNA of Eriocheir sinensis (Chinese mitten crab), 1851 nucleotides long. RefSeq lists it as uncharacterized. Lineage: Eukaryota; Metazoa; Arthropoda; Malacostraca; Decapoda; Varunidae. The record is from RefSeq and is a predicted model, not a curated record. The transcript is spliced from 2 exons.